RNAcentral lists this ribosomal RNA (247 nucleotides) under uncultured Candidatus Hydrogenedens sp. Its description in RNAcentral is "partial 16S ribosomal RNA". It matches the Rfam family "Bacterial small subunit ribosomal RNA", at positions 796 to 1041 of the family's 1533-position model. The record is from RNAcentral. Lineage: Bacteria; Pseudomonadati; Candidatus Hydrogenedentota; Candidatus Hydrogenedentia; Candidatus Hydrogenedentales; Candidatus Hydrogenedentaceae.
CAUGCUGUAAACGUUGUGCACUAGGUGUGGGAGGUAUCGACCCCUUCCGUGCCGCAGCUAACGCAUUAAGUGCACCGCCUGGGGAGUACGGUCGCAAGACUGAAACUCAAAGGAAUUGACGGGGGCCCGCACAAGCGGUGGAGCAUGUGGUUUAAUUCGAGGCAACGCGAAGAACCUUACCCAGGCUUGACAUCCUGUGACCGCCUAUGAAAGUAGGUUUUCCCUUCGGGGACACAGAGACAGGUGU